RNAcentral lists this unclassified non-coding RNA (305 nucleotides) under plant metagenome. RNAcentral's name for it is "partial contains 5.8S ribosomal RNA, internal transcribed spacer 2, and large subunit ribosomal RNA". The stretch from base 1 to 105 matches the Rfam family "5.8S ribosomal RNA", at positions 50 to 154 of the family's 154-position model. The record is from RNAcentral.
GAAAUGCGAUAAGUAGUGUGAAUUGCAGAAUUCAGUGAAUCAUCGAAUCUUUGAACGCACAUUGCGCCCUUUGGUAUUCCUUAGGGCAUGCCUGUUCGAGCGUCAUCUAAACCUUCAAGCCCUGCUUGGUGUUGGGUGCCUGUCCCGCCUCCGCGCGCGGACUCACCUCAAAUCCAUUGGCGGCCCCCGCGUCGGCCACGAGCGCAGCAGAAACGCGAACUCGUGAGCCCGUCCGGGCGGCUCCCAGAAACUACACCCACCCAGUUUGACCUCGGAUCAGGUAGGGAUACCCGCUGAACUUAAGC